This 336-nucleotide ribosomal RNA is filed under the name uncultured bacterium. RNAcentral describes it as "bacterial SSU rRNA". It matches the Rfam family "Bacterial small subunit ribosomal RNA", at positions 72 to 422 of the family's 1533-position model. The record is from RNAcentral.
AAGGGGAGCAAUCCCUGAGUACAGCGGCGUACGGGUGAGUAACACGUGGGUAAUCUACCUUUUAGUGGGGAAUAACCCUGGGAAACCGGGGCUAAUACCGCAUAAUCCUGUGAAGGGAAAGCAGCAAUGCGCUGAAAGAGGAGCCCGCGGCCGAUUAGCUAGUUGGUGAGGUAACGGCCCACCAAGGCGACGAUCGGUAGCCGGCCUGAGAGGGCACACGGCCACACUGGCACUGAAACACGGGCCAGACUCCUACGGGAGGCAGCAGUGGGGAAUCUUGCACAAUGGGGGAAACCCUGAUGCAGCGACGCCGCGUGAGCGAUGAAGCCCCUCGGG